RNAcentral lists this ribosomal RNA (516 nucleotides) under uncultured bacterium. RNAcentral's name for it is "bacterial SSU rRNA". It matches the Rfam family "Bacterial small subunit ribosomal RNA", at positions 19 to 518 of the family's 1533-position model. The record is from RNAcentral.
CUGGCUCAGAUUGAACGCUGGCGGCGUGCUUAACACAUGCAAGUCGAACGCGAAAGGGACUUCGGUCCUGAGUAAAGUGGCGCACGGGUGAGUAACGCGUGGAUAAUCUGCCCUUAUGAUCGGGAUAACAGUUGGAAACGGCUGCUAAUACCGGAUACGCUCAAAAUGAACUUUUUGAGGAAAGAUGGCCUCUGCUUGCAUGCUAUCACGUAAGGAUGAGUCCGCGUCCCAUUAGCUUGUUGGCGGGGUAACGGCCCACCAAGGCAACGAUGGGUAGCCGAUUUGAGAGGAUGAUCGGCCACACUGGAACUGAAACACGGUCCAGACUCCUACGGGAGGCAGCAGUGGGGAAUAUUGCGCAAUGGGCGAAAGCCUGACGCAGCGACGCCGCGUGAGGGAUGAAGGUUUUCGGAUCGUAAACCUCUGUCAGAAGGGAAGAAACUACGUUGUGCUAAUCAGCAGCGUACUGACGGUACCUUCAAAGGAAGCACCGGCUAACUCCGUGCCAGCCGCCGC